CUGGACUCUGUUCUGAGCAGGGAUCACCUCCUGUGUGUCGAUGGCACGCAGAUUGGAUUUGGGUGGGUUUCAGGGAUGUUCUGACACCUGCAAACACCACUCAGAUCUCCUUUGGAAUCCCUAGAAGGCAGGAAAGCAGACACCUCAAGAAGUGCAGCGUGACCGCGCCCAGAACCCGCAGGAUGUCCUGGCCUCUCCCCUGCCUGUCUCCCAGCCAUCUUCCAGAACCUAUAGGGCACCCUGACUGCUCCUCUGCACAUCUCCCAGCUGACCGCUAGGUGGACUUUCCAUGGUCUGAACAGGAGGAUCCUGAAGAAGGGGCUGCAACAGGCACAACUCCAGGGAGCCCCCCUGAAUAUGGGGUCCAGGACCCCUCAUGAGCAGUGCCCCUGGAGGCUUGUGGAGGAUCUCCUGCAAUUCUAGGAGAUAGUACAGACACUUGGGAGGGGUGAAGUUGUGGGGCUCUGGGUCCUGGAGGGCAAGGGGCCCACCAGGCCUGCCUGUCUGGGUGUGGUCUAUAGGGUCACCCACUGGGGUCACUGGGCUCAGUCCAGCUGCCUCUGGGGGAGAAGAUGAGCCGGGACAGUGUGGGUCUUCCCUUAGUGACAGGCCUACCCAACCCAGAACCUCACAGCCAGACCUAGAAAUGAAU
This 652-nucleotide long non-coding RNA is filed under the name Mustela putorius furo (domestic ferret). RNAcentral describes it as "lncRNA (ENSMPUG00000025465.1)". Lineage: Eukaryota; Metazoa; Chordata; Mammalia; Carnivora; Mustelidae. The record is from RNAcentral.